Camelus dromedarius (Arabian camel) is the source of this 448-nucleotide long non-coding RNA. RefSeq lists it as uncharacterized. NCBI's taxonomy places the organism in Eukaryota, Metazoa, Chordata, Mammalia, Artiodactyla, Camelidae. The record is from RefSeq and is a predicted model, not a curated record. The transcript has 3 exons.
CCUGAUAAGCCCUGCUGAGGUAAGUGAAUCUCUCUGCAUCGCUUAGUUCAGAUGGUCUCAAAUGCCUAAAUAUCUGAGUCAGGCUGACCCAUCAGCAAGUGUAUAAUUGUCAACUCCGAGAGGGGGCAGCCCACUGCAUCUCUGAUUGCUUGUCAUGGCAGACACCUGGAGAUGGAGAAGGCCCAGCACGCAGCAGGAUGCGAGCUCCCCCACCCCUGGCCAAAUCAGCGGAUAAAAACCAAAAAACUGAAGCCAGAGUUCCAUCAAGUCAUGCUCUCGAAUUGAUCGCAGAGAGCUGGGAGGAUCCUUGUUCUCUCACAAGAUCCGAAAAGUGUCUCCAAUGAUCUCCAGGUCACUGAAUGUGGAUUUCUUCAGCAAGAAACAGUUCAAGUCCAGCUACUGGGUGUCUCAGGCCCGCAAGAUUCCAACUCAAGACAUCUAUACUCAG